AAGCCACAGAUGCAGCAACGCCGGCUCCUUAGCCCACUGUGCCGGGCUAGGGAUCAAACCAUCCUGGGGCUCCCAAGAUGCCGCGAUCCCCUUGCACCACAGUGGGAGCUCCUGUGGCAGAUCUAUUUUACAUGCUGCUUGCAGGAGAAGGAUCUUAGAUGUGAUUGCAGAAGCCAGAUUUCUUCCUUUCCUGUUGCCUAGAAUGCCACGAAUAGAACCACUUAGGCUGGCAGAGGAGCCCAUCAGAGUCAAUUACCAAGGCCGUGUGGGAGGGUCUUUUUCUACUCUGAAUGACGUCAGCUGGCUUGGAAGUGAGAUGCCCGCCAACUUGCUGGGAAAGCCAAGUUAACAUUUCAUGAGUAUCAGAUGCCCGUCUUUGGCCAGCACUGACCUCCACUAAACACAGCGUUUUCACCAGAGAACUGCAGAUUGCAACACUGUUCGCCUUCAAGAAAAUGACUGGCCUGAAAAAGAGCCUGGUGUCAAAGUGAGGGACAUUCUUCCACUUCCACCCAAUCCAGAAAUACUUCCUCUUUCCCCCAUCCAGGAAAGUGGUAGCUUCCUUCCACCUUCUCAAAGCGUAUGAAAAAUAAACAUGGGUUUUCACCGUCAAAUAAGUAUGAUUUGGCUACAUCUAAUUUUCACUGGAAAACAUUGCAUCAAAAGAUACUUUGCAAAAGGGAAAUGGACAACACUCUGAGACUUGCAAAGCAUACAAAUAAAGGAUGCCCAGCCAGAAAAUAGAAAGAACUCCUAAGUCGAUAAAUGAAAGACCCAUAAUCUUAAAAAAAAAGGGGGGGGGAAACCAUGAAGAGAUAAGUCAUGGAACAGAAAAGUCUAGUGGCCAAUAAACAUGGUCAAAUGCUUGACUUCACUAAUAAUCAGGAGCAUGAAGUAAAUACACAAUUUACCAUUUCACACCUAGUAGAUUACGGUUUCUGAAAAUUCCAGAUCUGGAAGAGGAUGUCAAGCAAAGGAUGGCCAACUGUGACCUGGUCCCAAAUCUCUCCAGCCAUCUGUUUUGUAUAACCUGCAAGACUGUGUUCUCUAUUUUUAAAUCAUUGAAAACAAUCAAAAGAAUUGUUUUGUGGCACAUGAAAAUGACAAAGUUCAAAUUUCAGUGUCCUUGAAUAAAGGUUAUUCGAAUA
Molecule: long non-coding RNA, 1148 nt
Filed under: Sus scrofa (pig)
Lineage: Eukaryota; Metazoa; Chordata; Mammalia; Artiodactyla; Suidae
Description: lncRNA (ENSSSCG00005029189.1)
Source: RNAcentral